UCUUUUUUUUUUUUUUUUCCGGAGCUGGGGACGGAAUUCAGGGCCUUGCGCUUGCUAGGCAAGCGCUGCUCUACCACUGAGCUAAAUCCCCAACCCCCAGACAGAUUUCUCACUCUCCCUCAGAGAAACGUGAAGCAGCAGUGGGGAGCUAAGAAGUCUUCCUGCAGUCCUAAAAGCGUGACUGGCAUUGAGUGUGGAAGGAGGACCUGAAUCGACUAAGGCAGAGCAAGACAAGGACAUCCACACGUUCCUCAUCUCAUAGCUGACUGUGCGCUUUAACUAAAUGUUCAACUCCCUGAACAAAGCUAAAGGCCCCCCAAGGAAAUAAAAUCCCUUAGAGUAACAGGCAGCCCCUGGCCCCCUGCCUAACCUGCCAACAGGCAGCCCUGACCUAACAGGCCUCAGAGCUGCUGGAUGGACGCAGAGAACACCUGAUCUCAACUCUGUACAGACCUUUAAAAAUCCUAUAAUAAAGUAGAGAGUUUUCACUCUUCCUAACAGGUAUUUAAAAGACAUUUACAGGUAUGCAUUAGAAUUAAAUGUUAAUUUAUGACACCCUUUGCAGUCUUUUAUACUCUAAAAUAAAUCUCUGGAAAUAUUAAAAAAAAAAGUUGCAUUUUAUAUAUUCCUGAAUGCCGAGGAGCUUACAGUGCAAUUUCUCAGUUUUCAUUCCUCAGAAAUCUCUAAUUGUGCUCAUGAGUUCAUCCUGAAAGCACCCACUCUGACAGACACACACUGGGUGCCUCACUGUAGACAGCCGGCGCCAGACUGCCCCUGUUCUGAGAUUAGAUGGAAAGGAGAAAGAAAAAGCACCAUGUAAAACUCAUCCUAUUAGGAUAAAAAUAACAUUUGCAUAAAAAGAACAUAGAAAAUGAGCCGUCUCUCCUGUAGGUGCAUUUCUUCAGUCAAUCGCCGGGUUUACCGAAAGUGCUCUCUUAGUUCAAUUAUUGUACAAAUUACCUUUAAGCAAAUGUCAGAGUGUCCACUAUUUAUCUGGCUAAAACCUUUCAGAGGACACUACUCGUUUUAAAAAUCUCCUUUCUUCAGAAAAGACUAAUUAAAAACAAGCCCACCGCUCUUUGCUUUACAAUUUUAAUAUUAAUGAACAAGUCUCUCUGAGGCAAAGUGGUAUUUCUUUGAGGUCUGACCUACACAUGUAGCAGUAAAUUCCUAAUACAUGCAGGAUUGCAAAACCAAGACUCAAAAUUGAGUCAAAAAAAAAAAAAAAAA
This 1230-nucleotide long non-coding RNA is filed under the name Rattus norvegicus (Norway rat). RNAcentral describes it as "long non-coding RNA NONRATT028778". The record is from RNAcentral. Lineage: Eukaryota; Metazoa; Chordata; Mammalia; Rodentia; Muridae.